Molecule: ribosomal RNA, 495 nt
Filed under: uncultured bacterium
Lineage: Bacteria
Description: partial 16S ribosomal RNA
Rfam family: Bacterial small subunit ribosomal RNA
Source: RNAcentral
AUGAACGCUGGCGGCGUGCCUAAUACAUGCAAGUCGAGCGAACGGACGAGAAGCUUGCUUUUCUGAUGUUAGCGGCGGACGGGUGAGUAACACGUGGAUAACCUACCUAUAAGACUGGGAUAACUUCGGGAAACCGGAGCUAAUACCGGAUAAUAUUUUGAACCGCAUGGUUCAAAAGUGAAAGACGGUCUUGCUGUCACUUAUAGAUGGAUCCGCGCUGCAUUAGCUAGUUGGUAAGGUAACGGCUUACCAAGGCAACGAUGCAUAGCCGACCUGAGAGGGUGAUCGGCCACACUGGAACUGAGACACGGCCCAGACUCCUACGGGAGGCAGCAGUAGGGAAUCUUCCGCAAUGGGCGAAAGCCUGACGGAGCAACGCCGCGUGAGUGAUGAAGGUCUUCGGAUCGUAAAACUCUGUUAUUAGGGAAGAACAUAUGUGUAAGUAACUGUGCACAUCUUGACGGUACCUAAUCAGAAAGCCACGGCUAACUACGU